RNAcentral lists this ribosomal RNA (460 nucleotides) under uncultured bacterium. RNAcentral's name for it is "partial 16S ribosomal RNA". It matches the Rfam family "Bacterial small subunit ribosomal RNA", at positions 338 to 795 of the family's 1533-position model. The record is from RNAcentral.
CCUACGGGGGGCUGCAGUGAGGAAUAUUGGUCAAUGGCCGGAAGGCUGAACCAGCCAUGCCGCGUGAAGGUCAGUGCCCUAUGGGCGUUAAACUUCUUUUGUGCGGGAGCAAUAAUGGUCACGUGUGGCCAGACGAGAGUACCGUACGAAUAAGCAUCGGCUAACUUCGUGCCAGCAGCCGCGGUAAUACGGGGGAUGCAAGCGUUUUUCGGAUUUAUUGGGUUUAAAGGGUGCGUAGGCUGGGAGGUAAGUCAGCGGUGAAAUGCCCCCGCUCAAUGGGGGGAAGUGCCAUUGAUACUGCCUUGCUGGAAUGCGGAUGCCGUGGGAGGAAUGUGUGGUGUAGCGGUGAAAUGCAUAGAUAUCACACAGAACACCGAUUGCGAAGGCAGCUCACGAAUCCGCGAUUGACGCUGAUGCACGAAAGCGUGGGUAUCAAACAGGAUUAGAUACCCGGGUAGUC